GGGUUGUGAGGUUAAGCGACUAAGCGUACACGGUGGAUGCCCUGGCAGUCAGAGGCGAUGAAGGGCGUGCUAAUCUGCGAUAAGCGCCGGUAAGGUGAUAUGAACCGUUAUAACCGGCGAUACCCGAAUGGGGAAACCCAGUGUGACUCGUCACACUAUCAUUAACUGAAUCCAUAGGUUAAUGAGGCGAACCGGGGGAACUGAAACAUCUAAGUACCCCGAGGAAAAGAAAUCAACCGAGAUUCCCCCAGUAGCGGCGAGCGAACGGGGAGGAGCCCAGAGCCUGAAUCAGCAUGUGUGUUAGUGGAAGCGUCUGGAAAGGCGCGCGAUACAGGGUGACAGCCCCGUACACAAAAGCGCAUGUGCUGUGAGCUCGAUGAGUAGGGCGGGACACGUGGUAUCCUGUCUGAAUAUGGGGGGACCAUCCUCCAAGGCUAAAUACUCCUGACUGACCGAUAGUGAACCAGUACCGUGAGGGAAAGGCGAAAAGAACCCCGGCGAGGGGAGUGAAAAAGAACCUGAAACCGUGUACGUACAAGCAGUGGGAGCCCCACCACUAAGCCAGUGGUGAACUCCACAUACGCAUCCUUUGCUGAGGAUACGGUUAACGGAGCGAAAGCGACGUUCAACCGCAAAAGAAGCAGAGGGGGCUUAGUGGUGGGGUGACUGCGUACCUUUUGUAUAAUGGGUCAGCGACUUAUAUUCUGUAGCAAGGUUAACCGUAUAGGGGAGCCGGAGGGAAACCGAGUCUUAAUUGGGCGUUAAGUUGCAGGGUAUAGACCCGAAACCCGGUGAUCUAGCCAUGGGCAGGUUGAAGGUUGGGUAACACUAACUGGAGGACCGAACCGACUAAUGUUGAAAAAUUAGCGGAUGACCUGUGGCUGGGGGUGAAAGGCCAAUCAAACCGGGAGAUAGCUGGUUCUCCCCGAAAGCUAUUUAGGUAGCGCCUCGUGAACUCAUCUCCGGGGGUAGAGCACUGUUUCGGCUAGGGGGCCAUCCCGGCUUACCAACCCGAUGCAAACUGCGAAU
Molecule: ribosomal RNA, 1029 nt
Filed under: Salmonella enterica
Lineage: Bacteria; Pseudomonadati; Pseudomonadota; Gammaproteobacteria; Enterobacterales; Enterobacteriaceae
Description: partial 23S ribosomal RNA
Rfam family: Bacterial large subunit ribosomal RNA
Source: RNAcentral